This 253-nucleotide ribosomal RNA is filed under the name uncultured bacterium. RNAcentral describes it as "partial 16S ribosomal RNA". It matches the Rfam family "Bacterial small subunit ribosomal RNA", at positions 524 to 776 of the family's 1533-position model. The record is from RNAcentral.
UACGUAGGGUGCGAGCGUUAAUCGGAAUUACUGGGCGUAAAGGGCGCGUAGGCGGCCUUCUAAGUCGGACGUGAAAUCCCUCGGCUUAACCGAGGAACUGCGUCCGAUACUGAAAGGCUUGAAUCCGGGAGAGGGAUGUGGAAUUCCAGGUGUAGCGGUGAAAUGCGUAGAUAUCUGGAGGAACACCGGUGGCGAAGGCGGCAUCCUGGACCGGCAUUGACGCUGAGGCGCGAAAGCUAGGGGAGCAAACGGG